GACGAACGCUGGCGGCGUGCUUAACACAUGCAAGUCGAACGGUGAAAGCGGAGCUUGCUCCGCUGGAUCAGUGGCGAACGGGUGAGUAACACGUGGGCAACCUGCCCCUGACUUCGGGAUAACUCCUCGAAAGAGGUGCUAAUACCGGAUACGAAUCCUGCAGGCAUCUGCGGGAUUGGAAAGUUUUUCGGUCAGGGAUGGGCCCGCGGCCUAUCAGCGUGUUGGUGAGGUAGUGGCUCACCAGGGAGACGACGGGUAGCCGGCCUGAGAGGGCGGGCGGCCACACUGGGACUGAGACACGGCCCAGACUCCGACUGGAGGCAGCAGUGGGGAAUAUUGCGCAAUGGGCGAAAGCCUGACGCAGCAACGCCGCGUGAGGGAUGACGGCCUUCGGGUUGUAAACCUCUUUCAGCAGGGAAGAAGCGAAAGUGACGGUACCUGCAGAAGAAGCACCGGCUAACUACGUGCCAGCAGCCGCAGUAA
This 483-nucleotide ribosomal RNA is filed under the name uncultured bacterium. RNAcentral's name for it is "partial 16S ribosomal RNA". It matches the Rfam family "Bacterial small subunit ribosomal RNA", at positions 28 to 523 of the family's 1533-position model. The record is from RNAcentral.